GGGGCCCGAAGCGUUUACUUUGAAAAAAUUAGAGUGUUCAAAGCAGGCCCGAGCCGCCUGGAUACCGCAGCUAGGAAUAAUGGAAUAGGACCGCGGUUCUAUUUUGUUGGUUUUCGGAACUGAGGCCAUGAUUAAGAGGGACGGCUGGGGGCAUUGUAAAGCUAUUAUACUCCAAUAAAAAAUAAAAAAACAAGUCACACAAUCUUUCAUU
RNAcentral lists this non-coding RNA (211 nucleotides) under Ovis aries (sheep). RNAcentral describes it as "Eukaryotic small subunit ribosomal RNA". It matches the Rfam family "Eukaryotic small subunit ribosomal RNA", at positions 738 to 974 of the family's 1831-position model. The record is from Rfam by way of RNAcentral. Lineage: Eukaryota; Metazoa; Chordata; Mammalia; Artiodactyla; Bovidae.